Molecule: long non-coding RNA, 169 nt
Organism: Rhinichthys klamathensis goyatoka
Lineage: Eukaryota; Metazoa; Chordata; Actinopteri; Cypriniformes; Leuciscidae
Exons: 3
Source: RefSeq, a predicted model, not a curated record
UGUGGAACCAGUCAUGACAGAUACUCAACUGUCUUCGAAAGGCAUGGAUCCAGUGGGAGUGAAUUCAAUAGAGACUGCAGCUCUAGGGAGACCCUUCCAGCUGGGGAUGCUGUAUGACCUCAGGAGAGAUGCUCUCGUACCAGGAAUCAGACUUUGGAGUAAUGAGCAG